Molecule: ribosomal RNA, 254 nt
Filed under: uncultured bacterium
Lineage: Bacteria
Description: partial 16S ribosomal RNA
Rfam family: Bacterial small subunit ribosomal RNA
Source: RNAcentral
GUCCGCACCGUAACGAUGAUUACUCGUUGUUGGCAAUAUGACCGUCAGCGACCAAGCGAAGCGAUAAGUAAUCCACCUGGGAGUACGCCGGCAACGGUGAAACUCAAAGGAAUUGACGGGCCCGCACAAGCGGAGGAGCAUGUGGUUUAAUUCGAUGAUACGCGAGGAACCUUACCUGGGCUUGAAAGUUAGUGACCGGUUCUGAAAGGAACUUUUCCGCAAGGACACGAAACUAGGUGCUGCAUGGCUGUCGU